RNAcentral lists this ribosomal RNA (759 nucleotides) under uncultured organism. RNAcentral describes it as "bacterial SSU rRNA". It matches the Rfam family "Bacterial small subunit ribosomal RNA", at positions 22 to 756 of the family's 1533-position model. The record is from RNAcentral.
GCUCAGAACGAACGCUGGCGGCGUGCUUAACACAUGCAAGUCGGAUGCGAACGGCGCUUUCGGGCGUUGAGUAGCAUGGCAGACGGGUGAGGAGCGCGUAUCUGACUGGACUCAGGCUGGGGGAUAGUCCCUCGAAAGGGGGUUGAAUACCGCAUGUGCUCGGUGCUGUGAGGGCAUCGAGGAAAGUUGGCCUCUGCGGGCACGCUGAUGGCCUGAGACAGGGAUGCGUCCUAUUAGCUAGCUGGUGGGGUAAGGGCCUACCAGGGCGACGAUGGGUAGCUGGUCUGAGAGGAUGAUCAGCCACACUGGGACUGCGACACGGCCCAGACUCCUACGGGAGGCAGCAGUGGGGAAUUUUGCGCAAUGGGCGCAAGCCUGACGCAGCAACGCCGCGUGCAUGACGACGCCUUUCGAGGUGUAAAGUGCUGUCGACCGGGACGAAGGGGCGAGGGUGAACAGCUUUCGCGCAUGACGGUACCGGUGGAGGAAGCCCCGGCUAACUCCGUGCCAGCAGCCGCGGUAAGACGGAGGGGGCGAGCGUUGUUCGGAAUUACUGGGCGUAAAGCGCGCGUAGGCGGUGCAGCAAGUGGUGCGUGAAAGCCCUCGGCUUAACCGGGGACGGGCGUGCCAAAACUGUUGGACUGGAGUGCCGGAGGGGGGAGGCGGAAUUCCUGGUGGAGCGGUGAAAUGCGUAGAGAUCAGGAAGAACGUCGGUGGCGAAGGCGGACUCCUGGACGGACACUUGACGCUGAGGUGCGA